RNAcentral lists this ribosomal RNA (253 nucleotides) under uncultured bacterium. RNAcentral's name for it is "partial 16S ribosomal RNA". It matches the Rfam family "Bacterial small subunit ribosomal RNA", at positions 524 to 776 of the family's 1533-position model. The record is from RNAcentral.
UACGUAGGUGGCAAGCGUUGUCCGGAUUUAUUGGGUUUAAAGGGUGCGUAGGCGGUUCUUUAAGUCAGUGCUGAAAUACUCCAGCUUAACUGGAGGGGUGGCAUUGAUACUGGGGAACUUGAGUGUAGUCGAGGUAGGCGGAAUUGACGGUGUAGCGGUGAAAUGCUUAGAUAUCGUCAAGAACACCGAUAGUGAAGACAGCUUACUAGACUACAACUGACGCUGAGGCACGAAAGUGUGGGGAUCAAACAGG